Molecule: ribosomal RNA, 243 nt
Filed under: uncultured bacterium
Lineage: Bacteria
Description: partial 16S ribosomal RNA
Rfam family: Bacterial small subunit ribosomal RNA
Source: RNAcentral
GAUCCUGGGCUCAGGAUGAACGCUAGCUACAGGCUUAACACAUGCAAGUCGAGGGGCAGCAUGAACUUAGCUUGCUAAGUUUGAUGGCGACCGGCGCACGGGUGAGUAACACGUAUCCAACCUUCCCGUUACUCUGGGAUAGCCUUUCGAAAGAAAGAUUAAUACCGGAUAGUAUCGAGAGAUUGCAUGAUAACCCGAUUAAAGAUUUAUCGGUAACGGAUGGGGAUGCGUUCCAUUAGAUAG